Long non-coding RNA from Lotus japonicus, 1810 nucleotides. RefSeq lists it as uncharacterized. NCBI's taxonomy places the organism in Eukaryota, Viridiplantae, Streptophyta, Magnoliopsida, Fabales, Fabaceae. The record is from RefSeq and is a predicted model, not a curated record. The transcript is spliced from 2 exons.
UAAAUAGUUAAUAAGUAAACUCAACAAUUAAAUGAGGUAGCACCCAACAAGUAUUGCAAGCCAACAUGUCAGAGAUGGCAAGCCAUCGAACGACCUGCUGCCAAACUCUGAGGGCAAAAGGACAAGACAGUAACAUAUGUUGACUACUUUCAGCAACCACAAGACAAAAAGGACAGCCCACAUCUUAUGGAUUGGCAAUUAUAUGCCUACGAAAUAAAUUAUAACGCGUCUGAAUACGAUCGAGUGGCAGCCGCCAGACAAAGGCUCUCACAUUCGAAGCAGCCCAAAUGGAUUUAAAAAUAUUGUCCUGCACCUCCAAGCCAUGUACCUGCAAAACAAGGUACGCUGAGUUAACGGUAUAAAUUCCUUCCUCCCCUGGAACCCACACCCACUUGUCUCUCCUUCCUUCAAUCAAAUUACCACCAUUCAGAACUGAAAUUAAGUCCUGAUACCAAGCAACCUCUCUCCCUUGCAAAUCCCUUCUCCAAGCCAAUUUCCACCUACAAGGACCCCCAUCCCACUCACUCACCUCCUUUACAAUACUGUAUUUAUUUUUGGACAAAUUAUAGAGCCGCUGAAACCUUCCGGACAAUGGUCCAGAUCCUAACCAAUCCUCAGAAUAGAACACAGUUUGAUCCCCAUCUCCCAACACCUUUCCCACAUUAGAACUGAACCAAUCUAAAUUAUCAGCGGAGCAAGUUGACAUGACAUCCUGCCACCAAGGUCAAGCACAAUGAAACUGAUCUAACUGUGCUUUAAUCACUCUACACCAAAGGCUAUUUGUUUCAUUCAUAUAACGCUACCUCCACUUCCCAAUAAGAGCUAUGUUGAAAGAAAAAAGCUCUUUGAUUCCAAGACCACCAUUCUCCUUUGAUUUGCAUACAUCUGUCCAACUUACCCACACAAUUUUGUGUUUCUCCUCUGAACCGCCCAUAGGAAAUCACGCAUGAGGCUAGUACAGAGCUUCCCAACACCAACAAGCAGCUUGAAAAACGAAAGGUUCCCAUAACCGAGCUUCUCGUGGCCUCCCACCAUGGAACACCUAGGUACACAAAAAGGGAGAGUCAUCAACUUACAAUUUACCACUUCCCAUCCCAAAAUUGAACCCCACGAAACUGCCCUUGCCCAUAGCUUGGAAAAAGAGUCUAUUGAGACCUUAUGCUAUUAUUAAAAAAAGAAAAGGGGCCAACGGAUCACCUUGACGAAGACCUUUUCCCAUUUUAAAUUCACCACAAGGACUGCCAUUCACCCAAGACAGAUAUAGAGGCCGACUCUAAGCAACUUUUGAUGCAAAGAAUCCACUUUUGGCUGAAUCCCAUCCGCCCCAUCAUGUAGAUCAAGAAGUCACAUCUCACAGAAUCAUAUGCUUUCUCGUAAUCCACUUUGAAGAGGACCGUUGACUUUCUACCCCGCUUAGCAACACUAAUGGUCUCAUUCACAAUCACCAUGCCGUCAAGCAUAUUCCUCCCUCCUAAAAAAGCAAACUGAUGGUCUCAUUCUGUUUGUUUGUUUCAUCGUGGGUGGGUGCAGAGGGUUGGGUGCGUAAUGUGUUUUUGUUGGGUGGUAGGAUUUGUAAGUGUGGGAUUUGCUUUGUUAGUUUUUGGUAUUUGUAGGGUUGUAUCCAUUGUUGUCAAUCUCUAGAGAUAUCUCUUAAUCUCUUACGAGAUUACGAUAUCACUUAUAAAAAACAAGACUAGCGAAGGGUAAUAACUGUUUUUUCAAAUCUCGGCGGAUAUCUCGAGAUAUCUCUUAAUCUGGUGUAAUAUCACUCCUCUUUGUCAUUAAUUCCACUAAACUCUUUCGUUCUUUC